AUUGAGCGCUGGCGGCAGGCCUAACACAUGCAAGUCGAACGGUAACAGGAAGCAGCUUGCUGCUUCGCUGACGAGUGGCGGACGGGUGAGUAAUGUCUGGGAAGCUGCCUGAUGGAGGGGGAUAACUACUGGAAACGGUAGCUAAUACCGCAUAAUGUCGCAAGACCAAGGAGGGGGACCUUCGGGCCUCUUGCCAUCGGAUGUGCCCAGAUGGGAUUAGCUUGUUGGUGGGGUAACGGCUCACCAAGGCGACGAUCCCUAGCUGGUCUGAGAGGAUGACCAGCCACACUGGAACUGAGACACGGUCCAGACUCCUACGGGAGGCAGCAGUGGGGAAUAUUGCACAAUGGGCGCAAGCCUGAUGCAGCCAUGCCGCGUGUAUGAAGAAGGCCUUCGGGUUGUAAAGUACUUUCAGCGGGGAGGAAGGGAGUAAAGUUAAUACCUUUGCUCAUUGACGUUACCCGCAGAAGAAGCACCGGCUAACUCCGUG
RNAcentral lists this ribosomal RNA (490 nucleotides) under uncultured bacterium. RNAcentral describes it as "partial 16S ribosomal RNA". It matches the Rfam family "Bacterial small subunit ribosomal RNA", at positions 30 to 507 of the family's 1533-position model. The record is from RNAcentral.